AGUGAACGCUGGCGGUAGGCCUAACACAUGCAAGUCGAACGGCAGCACAGUAAGAGCUUGCUCUUACGGGUGGCGAGUGGCGGACGGGUGAGGAAUAUAUCGGAAUCUACUUUUUCGUGGGGGAUAACGUAGGGAAACUUACGCUAAUACCGCAUACGACCUACGGGUGAAAGCAGGGGAUCUUCGGACCUUGCGCGAUUGAAUGAGCCGAUGUCGGAUUAGCUAGUUGGCGGGGUAAAGGCCCACCAAGGCGACGAUCCGUAGCUGGCCUGAGAGGAUGAUCAGCCACACUGGAACUGAGACACGGUCCAGACUCCUACGGGAGGCAGCAGUGGGGAAUAUUGGACAAUGGGCGCAAGCCUGAUCCAGCCAUACCGCGUGGGUGAAGAAGGCCUUCGGGUUGUAAAGCCCUUUUGUUGGGAAAGAAAAGCAGCAGGUUAAUACCCCGCUGUUCUGACGGUACCCAAAGAAUAAGCACCGGCUAACUUCGUG
This 492-nucleotide ribosomal RNA is filed under the name uncultured bacterium. RNAcentral's name for it is "partial 16S ribosomal RNA". It matches the Rfam family "Bacterial small subunit ribosomal RNA", at positions 29 to 507 of the family's 1533-position model. The record is from RNAcentral.